UACGUAGGGGGCAAGCGUUGUCCGGAAUCAUUGGGCGUAAAGAGCGCGUAGGCGGUCCGGUAAGUCCGCUCUGAAAGUCCGGGGCUCAACCCCGGGAGGCGGGCGGAUACUGUCGGGCUAGAGUCCGGAAGAGGCGAGUGGAAUUCCUGGUGUAGCGGUGAAAUGCGCAGAUAUCAGGAGGAACACCAAUGGCGAAGGCAGCUCGCUGGGACGGUACUGACGCUGAGGCGCGAAAAGCGUGGGGGAGCAAACAGG
This 255-nucleotide ribosomal RNA is filed under the name uncultured bacterium. Its description in RNAcentral is "partial 16S ribosomal RNA". It matches the Rfam family "Bacterial small subunit ribosomal RNA", at positions 524 to 776 of the family's 1533-position model. The record is from RNAcentral.